This 403-nucleotide ribosomal RNA is filed under the name uncultured bacterium. Its description in RNAcentral is "bacterial SSU rRNA". It matches the Rfam family "Bacterial small subunit ribosomal RNA", at positions 976 to 1380 of the family's 1533-position model. The record is from RNAcentral.
CGGGCUUGAACUGCAGGGGAACGAUUCAGAGAUGAUGAGGUCCUUCGGGACUCCUGUGGAGGUGCUGCAUGGUUGUCGUCAGCUCGUGCCGUGAGGUGUCGGCUUAAGUGCCAUAACGAGCGCAACCCCUGUCCCCAGUUGCCAUCGGGUGAUGCCGGGCACUCUGGGGAGACUGCCGCCGCAAGGUGGAGGAGGGUGGGGAUGACGUCAAAUCAGCACGGCCCUUACGUCCGGGGCUACACACGUGUUACAAUGGGGGGUACAGAGCGCCGGCCGCCGGCAACGUCGGUCCAAUCGCGAAAGCCUCUCCCAGUUCGGACUGGGGUCUGCAACCCGACCCCACGAAGCUGGAUUCGCUAGUAAUCGCGCAUCAGCCAUGGCGCGGUGAAUACGUUCCCGGGCC